GACCGAAUGGCGUAGUGGUUAGUGACCCUGACUACCGAGCCGAUGGUCCCGGGUUCGAUUCCCGGCUGGGGCU
RNAcentral lists this transfer RNA (73 nucleotides) under Plutella xylostella (diamondback moth). RNAcentral's name for it is "tRNA-Gly". Lineage: Eukaryota; Metazoa; Arthropoda; Insecta; Lepidoptera; Plutellidae. The record is from RNAcentral.